RNAcentral lists this ribosomal RNA (544 nucleotides) under uncultured bacterium. RNAcentral's name for it is "bacterial SSU rRNA". It matches the Rfam family "Bacterial small subunit ribosomal RNA", at positions 46 to 579 of the family's 1533-position model. The record is from RNAcentral.
GCCUAACACAUGCAAGUCGAACGGCAGCACAGAGGAGCUUGCUCCUUGGGUGGCGAGUGGCGGACGGGUGAGGAAUACAUCGGAAUCUACUCUGUCGUGGGGGAUAACGUAGGGAAACUUACGCUAUACCUGCAUACGACCUACGGGUGAAAGCAGGGGAUCUUCGGACCUUGCGCGAUUGAAUGAGCCGAUGUCGGAUUAGCUAGUUGGCGGGGUAAAGGCCCACCAAGGCGACGAUCCGUAGCUGGUCUGAGAGGAUGAUCAGCCACACUGGAACUGAGACACGGUCCAGACUCCUACGGGAGGCAGCAGUGGGGAAUAUUGGACAAUGGGCGCAAGCCUGAUCCAGCCAUACCGCGUGGGUGAAGAAGGCCUUCGGGUUGUAAAGCCCUUUUGUUGGGAAAGAAAUCCAGCUGGCUAAUACCCGGUUGGGAUGACGGUACCCAAAGAAUAAGCACCGGCUAACUUCGUGCCAGCAGCCGCGGUAAUACGAAGGGUGCAAGCGUUACUCGGAAUUACUGGGCGUAAAGCGUGCGUANGUGGU